This 516-nucleotide long non-coding RNA is filed under the name Fukomys damarensis (Damara mole-rat). Its description in RNAcentral is "lncRNA (ENSFDAG00000028222.1)". The record is from RNAcentral. Lineage: Eukaryota; Metazoa; Chordata; Mammalia; Rodentia; Bathyergidae.
UAGGAAGUUACAGAAGAAACAAGGAAGGAGGCAAUGCUUACCCUCCAUCUACUCCAUUUCCACUCCUACAUACCUGUUGAUGAUGCUUCUGGUGAGCAGUACUGUGAAUUGUGUGCUACUGAAAGAUAGCAGGCACAAUCAAGCAGUUGGCUAAAUGUACAGGUUUGAUUAUGUAUAUAUUUUCCAAUAUAUAUAUAUUCACCCAGCUUUCUGUCCCACAGCCUUUACUCUCUGCCAUGGCUCCAUGAUACUCUGUGCAGAAAGAUGCCUGUGUUCCUUUAUUCCUGGGAUGGUCUUGGAUGUAAGCCCAUGCAACAGGACUCUGUGUUCUUCUCUGCCGGCUCUGCUCACCAAGUCGAUGUGACCAAACCCUGGCUGCUAUAGAUUUUUCCAGAGGCAACCUUGUUCUGCAAUGUGAGUAAGAGACCCAGCCCCUUAGUCCUGGCAAAGAGUUAACCUGAAAAUUGGUAGAACACACUCGACCACUGUCUCUCAUCUCUUUCCUUCUGAUCCCUG